Molecule: ribosomal RNA, 452 nt
Filed under: uncultured bacterium
Lineage: Bacteria
Description: bacterial SSU rRNA
Rfam family: Bacterial small subunit ribosomal RNA
Source: RNAcentral
AACGAACGCUGGCGGCAGGCCUAACACAUGCAAGUCGAACGCUCGUAGCAAUACGGGAGUGGCAGACGGGUGAGUAACACGUGGGAACCUUCCCUAUGGUUCGGAAUAGCUCAGGGAAACUUGGGGUAAUACCGGAUAAGCCCUUCGGGGAAAGAUUUAUCGCCAUUGGAUGGGCCCGCGUCGGAUUAGCUAGUUGGUGAGGUAACGGCUCACCAAGGCAACGAUCCGUAGCUGGUCUGAGAGGAUGAUCAGCCACACUGGGACUGAGACACGGCCCAGACUCCUACGGGAGGCAGCAGUGGGAAUAUUGGACAAUGGGCGCAAGCCUGAUCCAGCCAUGCCGCGUGAGUGACGAAGGUCUUCGGAUUGUAAAACUCUUUUGGCGGGGACGGAUAAUGACGGUACCCGCAGAAUAAGACCCCGGCUAACUUCGUGCCAGCAGCCGCCGUAAG